CGUCUUUAUUAAGAUAAUCAAUACCUUAAUAUCCGUCUUUAUCGAAAAACAUAAUUCGAUAUACUUCUUUAUUAGAAUAACAUACUCUAAUAUCCUUCUUUACUAAGUUGAUUAACACCUUAAUAUACUUCUUUGAUAUUUAAACAAACAUCAUCAACAAUCAACAACAAUUAUAAUUCACAAAUAUAAUCAACAAUUCAUCAACACAUCAUUCUUCAUCAACAAGCAUCAACAAGCAUCAACAAUCAUCAACAAUCAUGUAAGAAUCAGCCACUGAUCGAAAAUACAUGCAAAGGAAGACAGCAGAUGAAAAAAUUGGUGAAAACUGCAGUAUUUACGCCUGGGGCGGAAAUAUUUACGCCCGGGGCGGAACUUUACG
This 379-nucleotide long non-coding RNA is filed under the name Trifolium pratense (red clover). RNAcentral describes it as "long non-coding RNA (TPRA_LNC011173)". Lineage: Eukaryota; Viridiplantae; Streptophyta; Magnoliopsida; Fabales; Fabaceae. The record is from RNAcentral.